RNAcentral lists this ribosomal RNA (498 nucleotides) under uncultured bacterium. RNAcentral describes it as "partial 16S ribosomal RNA". It matches the Rfam family "Bacterial small subunit ribosomal RNA", at positions 30 to 523 of the family's 1533-position model. The record is from RNAcentral.
AUUGAACGCUGGCGGCAUGCCUUACACAUGCAAGUCGAACGGUAACAGGUCUUCGGAUGCUGACGAGUGGCGAACGGGUGAGUAAUACAUCGGAACGUGCCUAGUAGUGGGGGAUAACUACUCGAAAGAGUGGCUAAUACCGCAUGAGAUCUACGGAUGAAAGCAGGGGAUCGCAAGACCUUGCGCUACUAGAGCGGCCGAUGGCAGAUUAGGUAGUUGGUGGGAAAAAAGCUCACCAAGCCGACGAUCUGUAGCUGGUCUGAGAGGACGAUCAGCCACACUGGGACUGAGAAACGGCCCAGACUCCUACGGGAGGCAGCAGUGGGGAAUUUUGGACAAUGGGCGCAAGCCUGAUCCAGCAAUGCCGCGUGCAGGAUGAAGGCCUUCGGGUUGUAAACUGCUUUUGUACGGAACGAAAAGCCCCGGGUUAAUACCCUGGGGUCAUGACGGUACCGUAAGAAUAAGCACCGGCUAACUACGUGCCAGCCGCCGCGGUAA